RNAcentral lists this ribosomal RNA (751 nucleotides) under Nocardiopsis alba. RNAcentral describes it as "partial 16S ribosomal RNA". It matches the Rfam family "Bacterial small subunit ribosomal RNA", at positions 277 to 1048 of the family's 1533-position model. Lineage: Bacteria; Bacillati; Actinomycetota; Actinomycetes; Streptosporangiales; Nocardiopsidaceae. The record is from RNAcentral.
UUACGGGUAGCCGGCCUGAGAGGGCGACCGGCCACACUGGGACUGAGACACGGCCCAGACUCCCGGGGCAGCAGUGGGGAAUAUUGCGCAAUGGGCGAAAGCCUGACGCAGCGACGCCGCGUGGGGGAUGACGGCCUUCGGGUUGUAAACCUCUUUUACCCAACGCAGGCUCCGGGUUCUCUCGGGGUUGACGGUAGGUGGGGAAUAAGGACCGGCUAACUACGUGCCAGCAGCCGCGGUAAUACGUAGGGUCCGAGCGUUGUCCGGAAUUAUUGCGUAAAGAGCUCGUAGGCGGCGUGUCGCGUCUGCUGAAAGACCGGGGCUUAACUCCGGCUGCAGUGGAUACGGGCAUGCUAGAGGUAGGUAGGGGAGACUGGAAUUCCUGGUGUAGCGGUGAAAUGCGCAGAUAUCAGGAGGAACACCGGUGGCGAAGGCGGGUCUCUGGGUUACCUGACGCUGAGGAGCGAAAGCAUGGGGAGCGAAGGAUUAGAUACCCUGGUAGUCCAUGCCGUAAACGUUGGGCGCUAGGUGUGGGGACUUUCCACGGUUUCCGCGCCGUAGCUAACGCAUUAAGCCCCGCCUGGGGAGUGGCCGCAAGGCUAAAACUCAAAGGAAUUGACGGGGGCCCGCACAAGCGGCGGAGCAUUGCUUAAUUCGACGCAACGCGAAGAACCUUACCAAGGUUUGACAUCACCCGUGGACCUGUAGAGAUACAGGGUCAUUUAGUUGGUGGGUGACAGGUGGUGCAUGG